RNAcentral lists this ribosomal RNA (497 nucleotides) under uncultured bacterium. Its description in RNAcentral is "partial 16S ribosomal RNA". It matches the Rfam family "Bacterial small subunit ribosomal RNA", at positions 28 to 507 of the family's 1533-position model. The record is from RNAcentral.
GAUGAACGCUGGCGGCGUGCCUAAUACAUGCAAGUCGAGCGAACAGACGAGGAGCUUGCUCCUCUGACGUUAGCGGCGGACGGGUGAGUAACACGUGGAUAACCUACCUAUAAGACUGGGAUAACUUCGGGAAACCGGAGCUAAUACCGGAUAAUAUAUUGAACCGCAUGGUUCAAUAGUGAAAGACGGUUUUGCUGUCACUUAUAGAUGGAUCCGCGCCGCAUUAGCUAGUUGGUAAGGUAACGGCUUACCAAGGCGACGAUGCGUAGCCGACCUGAGAGGGUGAACGGCCACACUGGAACUGAGACACGGUCCAGACUCCUACGGGAGGCAGCAGUAGGGAAUCUUCCGCAAUGGGCGAAAGCCUUACGGAGCAACGCCGCGUGGGGGAUGAAGGUCUUCGGAUCGUAAAACUCUGUUAUUAGGGAAGAACAAAUGUGUAAGUAACUAUGCACGUCUUGACGGUACCUAAUCAGAAAGCCAAGGCUAACUACGUG